UGCCUUGGAGGGUUUGAUCCUGGCUCAGGGCUAACGCUGGCAGCGUGCCUUAGCCAUGCAAGUCGAGCGGGGAGGUCCCCUUCGGG
Molecule: ribosomal RNA, 86 nt
Filed under: Thermotogota bacterium
Lineage: Bacteria; Thermotogati; Thermotogota
Description: Thermotogae bacterium (hydrothermal vent metagenome) partial 16S ribosomal RNA
Rfam family: Bacterial small subunit ribosomal RNA
Source: RNAcentral